AUUGAACGCUGGCGGCAGGCUUAACACAUGCAAGUCGAGCGGAGUGAUGGUGCUUGCACUAUCACUUAGCGGCGGACGGGUGAGUAAUGCUUAGGAAUCUGCCUAUUAGUGGGGGACAACAUCUCGAAAGGGAUGUUAAUCCCGCAUACGUCCUAGGGGGAAAAGAAGGGAAUCAUUUGUGACCUUGGGCUAAUGGAGGAGCUAAAGUCGGAUUAGCAAGUGGGUGGGGUAAAGGCCUACGAAGGCGACGAUCUGUAGCGGGUCUGAGAGGAUGAUCCGCCACACUGGGACUGAGACACGGCCCAGACUCCUACGGGAGGCAGCAGUGGGGAAUAUUGGACAAUGGGGGGAACCCUGAUCCAGCCAUGCCGCGUGUGUGAAGAAGGCCUUAUGGUUGUAAAGCACUUUAAGCGAGGAGGAGGCUUACCUAGUUAAUACCUGGGAUAAGUGGACGUUACUCGCAGAAUAAGCACCGGCUAACUCUGUGCCAGCAGCCGCAGUAA
Molecule: ribosomal RNA, 503 nt
Filed under: uncultured bacterium
Lineage: Bacteria
Description: partial 16S ribosomal RNA
Rfam family: Bacterial small subunit ribosomal RNA
Source: RNAcentral